RNAcentral lists this ribosomal RNA (445 nucleotides) under uncultured bacterium. RNAcentral describes it as "bacterial SSU rRNA". It matches the Rfam family "Bacterial small subunit ribosomal RNA", at positions 354 to 796 of the family's 1533-position model. The record is from RNAcentral.
GUGGGGAAUAUUGGUCAAUGGGCGAAAGCCUGAACCAGCAAUGCCGCGUGAGUGAUGAAGGCCUUCGGGUUGUAAAGCUCUGUCAGUGGGAACGAAUAAGCCGAUUAAUACUCGGUGGUGACGGUACCCACAAAGGAAGCACCGGCUAACUCUGUGCCAGCAGCCGCGGUAAUACAGAGGGUGCAAGCGUUGUUCGGAAUUACUGGGCGUAAAGCGCGUGUAGGCGGUCUAGCAAGUCGGGUGUGAAAUCCCUUGGCUUAACCAAGGAACUGCAUUCGAAACUACUAAACUUGAGUAUCGGAGGGGGUGGCGGAAUUCCCGGUGUAGAGGUGAAAUUCGUAGAUAUCGGGAGGAACACCUGUGGCGAAGGCGGCCACCUGGAAGAUUACUGACGCUGAGACGCGAAAGCGUGGGGAGCAAACAGGAUUAGAAACCCUAGUAGUCC